UCAGACGAUGCGUCAUGCAUAUCAAUAAGCGGAGGAAAAGAAACUAACAAGGAUUCCCCUAGUAACGGCGGAGUGAAGCGGGAAGAGCUCAAAUUUGAAAUCUUAAAGGGUCUCCCUUUACGAAUUGUAGUUUAAAGAAGUGUUUUCUGUUGAGGUUUUGGUAAAAGUUCUUUGGAAUAGGACAUCAUAGAGGGUGAGAAUCCCGUAUUUGACCUUUACUUUCAACUUUGUGAUACACUUUCAAAGAGUCGGAUUGUUUGGGAAUGCAGUCCAAAAUGGGUGGUAAAUUUCAUCUAAAGCUAAAUAUUGGCGAGAGACCGAUAGCGAACAAGUACCGUGAGGGAAAGAUGAAAAGAACUUUGAAAAGAGAGUUAAACAGUACGUGAAAUUGUCAAAAGGGAAGCGUUUGACACCAGUGUUGUUUUUCUGAAAAUCAAUUAAAGAACUGUUUAUGCUAAGUUGUUUAGACUUUAUCAGCUAACUGUUUAGUUUUGAGCUUUUCUUUAAUGCACUUUUCAGUUAACAAGUCAACAUCAAUUUCUUUUGCUGUAAAAAAGCUUGAGGAAGGUGGCUUGAGAUUCGUCUUAAGUGUUUAUAGCCUCUUGCCUAUGCAGUCGGAGAGAUUGAGGUCUGCAGCGUAGAUCCUUCGGGGCUAAAUGCAUUUGUGCUAAGUUAUAGCAUUUUAUAGACAACUUGUUGACUAUGAUUUGUCUUGUAGCUUACUCGCUUAUGUUAUUUUACCUACGCUUAGGAUGUUGAGCGCAUGUCUCUCUCU
Molecule: ribosomal RNA, 775 nt
Filed under: uncultured Neocallimastigales
Lineage: Eukaryota; Fungi; Neocallimastigomycota; Neocallimastigomycetes; Neocallimastigales
Description: partial large subunit ribosomal RNA
Rfam family: Eukaryotic large subunit ribosomal RNA
Source: RNAcentral